This 749-nucleotide ribosomal RNA is filed under the name uncultured Methanocalculus sp. RNAcentral's name for it is "bacterial SSU rRNA". It matches the Rfam family "Archaeal small subunit ribosomal RNA", at positions 102 to 856 of the family's 1478-position model. Lineage: Archaea; Methanobacteriati; Methanobacteriota; Methanomicrobia; Methanomicrobiales; Methanocalculaceae. The record is from RNAcentral.
GGAUAAUCUGCCCUCAGGUGAGGAAUAAUCCCGGGAAACUGGGGCUAAUGCCUCAUAGGAGACGGGUGCUGGAAUGCUCUGUCUCCCAAAGGUCCGCCGCCUGAGGAUGAGUCUGCGUCCGAUUAGGUAGUUGUUGGGGUAACGGCCCAACAAGCCUUUGAUCGGUACGGGUUGUGGGAGCAAGAGCCCGGAGAUGGAUUCUGAGACAUGAAUCCAGGCCCUACGGGGCGCAGCAGGCGCGAAAACUUUACAAUGCGAGCAAUCGUGAUAAGGAAACCCUGAGUGCCUGUCAAUGCAGGCUGUUCUGGUGUCUAACACACACCAGGAGAAAGGGCGGGGCAAGACCGGUGCCAGCCGCCGCGGUAAUACCGGCUGCUCGAGUGAUAGCCACUUUUACUGGGCUUAAAGCGUUCGUAGCUUGGUCGUUAAGUCUCUGGGGAAAUCUUUUGGCUCAACCAAAAGGCGUCUCAGGGAAACUGACGAUCUUGGGACCGGGAGAGGUAAGACGUACUUCGGGGGUAGGAGUGAAAUCUUGUAAUCCCCGAGGGACGACCGAUGGCGAAGGCAUCUUACCAGAACGGCUUCGACAGUGAGGUACGAAAGCUGGGGGAGCAAACCGGAUUAGAUACCCGGGUAGUCCCAGCCGUAAACGAUGUGCGUUAGGUGUGUCAGUGACCACGAGUCGCUGAGGUGCCGAAGGGAAACCGUGAAACGCACCGCCUGGGAAGUACGGUCGCAAGGCUGAAACU